GGAGAGUUGGCAGAGUGGUCUAUUGCGUCGGUCUUGAAAACCGAAGUUCUUAACGGAACCGGGGGUUCGAAUCCCUCACUCUCCG
This 85-nucleotide transfer RNA is filed under the name Bacteroidota bacterium. RNAcentral describes it as "tRNA-Ser". It matches the Rfam family "tRNA". From Rfam's summary of the family: Transfer RNA (tRNA) molecules are approximately 80 nucleotides in length. Their secondary structure includes four short double-helical elements and three loops (D, anti-codon, and T loops). Further hydrogen bonds mediate the characteristic L-shaped molecular structure. tRNAs have two regions of fundamental functional importance: the anti-codon, which is responsible for specific mRNA codon recognition, and the 3' end, to which the tRNAs corresponding amino acid is attached (by aminoacyl-tRNA synthetases). tRNAs cope with the degeneracy of the genetic code in two manners: having more than one tRNA (with a specific anti-codon) for a particular amino acid; and 'wobble' base-pairing, i.e. permitting non-standard base-pairing at the 3rd anti-codon position. Lineage: Bacteria; Pseudomonadati; Bacteroidota. The record is from RNAcentral. RNAcentral also lists the same sequence under 1 other name.